RNAcentral lists this ribosomal RNA (241 nucleotides) under uncultured Staphylococcus sp. RNAcentral's name for it is "partial 16S ribosomal RNA". It matches the Rfam family "Bacterial small subunit ribosomal RNA", at positions 99 to 334 of the family's 1533-position model. Lineage: Bacteria; Bacillati; Bacillota; Bacilli; Caryophanales; Staphylococcaceae. The record is from RNAcentral.
CGGACGGGUGAGUAACACGUGGAUAACCUACCUAUAAGACUGGGAUAACUUCGGGAAACCGGAGCUAAUACCGGAUAAUAUUUUAAACCGCAUGGUUCAAAAGUGAAAGACGGUCUUGCUGUCACUUAUAGAUGGAUCCGCGCUGCAUUAGCUAGUUGGUAAGGUAACGGCUUACCAAGGCAACGAUGCAUAGCCGACCUGAGAGGGUGAUCGGCCACACUGGAACUGAGACACGGUCCAG